This 151-nucleotide long non-coding RNA is filed under the name Parus major (Great Tit). Its description in RNAcentral is "lncRNA (ENSPMJG00000015123.1)". Lineage: Eukaryota; Metazoa; Chordata; Aves; Passeriformes; Paridae. The record is from RNAcentral.
AGUGAGUCCAGGGAAAUUCUAGUGUGUAAGGGCUGAAGAACAGCUCCUCAAAUUGCUCCCAGGGGCUACCUACCAGGAAAUUAUGUGACUUCAGUUUAUGCUUGUAGUAUUACAGUGACAUAACUGUUCUUGAAGGAAACUUAUAACAUUU